CCUACGGGAGGCAGCAGUGAGGAAUAUUGGUCAAUGGCCGGAAGGCUGACCCAGCAACGCCGCGUGAAGGAAGAAGGCUUUCGGGGUGUAAACUUCUUUUAAGAGGGAAGAGCAGAAGACGGUACCUCUUGAUUAAGCCACGGCUAACUCCGUGCCAGCAGCCGCGGUAAUACGUAGGUGGCAAGCGUUUUCCGGAUUUACUGGGUGUAAAGGGCGUGCAGGCGGGAAGACAAGUCAGAUGUGAAAUCCCGCGGCUCAACCGCGAAACUGCAUUUGAAACUGUUUUUCUUGAGUAUCGGAGAGGUCAGCGGAAUGCCUUGUGUAGCGGUGAAAUGCGUAGAUAUAAGGAAGAACACCAGUGGCGAAGGCGGAUGACUAGACGGCAACUGACGGUGAGGCGCGAAAGCGUGGGGAGCAAACAGGAUUAGAUACCCCAGUAGUC
RNAcentral lists this ribosomal RNA (442 nucleotides) under uncultured bacterium. RNAcentral's name for it is "partial 16S ribosomal RNA". It matches the Rfam family "Bacterial small subunit ribosomal RNA", at positions 338 to 795 of the family's 1533-position model. The record is from RNAcentral.